GUCAAUAACCCCUGCCUGAAGGCAGAGGCUUGUGAAAGCCUUAGUUGACUAGCCUCAGUGAUCUUCCUUUGGAAGUGAACUACGUUGGUUGGGAAUGCAUAGGCACCGCGGGAUGUCCAUCCUAGUCCCGCGCUCUGC
RNAcentral lists this small RNA (138 nucleotides) under uncultured Duodenibacillus sp. RNAcentral describes it as "HNH endonuclease-associated RNA and ORF (HEARO) RNA". It matches the Rfam family "HNH endonuclease-associated RNA and ORF (HEARO) RNA", at positions 1 to 128 of the family's 211-position model. The record is from RNAcentral. Lineage: Bacteria; Pseudomonadati; Pseudomonadota; Betaproteobacteria; Burkholderiales; Sutterellaceae.